UACGAGGGGAGCAAGCGUUGUUCGGAUUUACUGGGCGUAAAGGGCGCGUAGGCGGCCACGACAAGUCACUUGUGAAAUCUCCGGGCUUAACUCGGAACGGUCAAGUGAUACUGUCGGGCUAGAGUACAGAAGGGGCAACUGGAAUUCUCGGUGUAGCGGUGAAAUGCGUAGAUAUCGAGAGGAACACCUGCGGCGAAGGCGGGUUGCUGGGCUGAUACUGACGCUGAGGCGCGAAAGCCAGGGGAGCGAACGGG
Molecule: ribosomal RNA, 254 nt
Filed under: uncultured bacterium
Lineage: Bacteria
Description: partial 16S ribosomal RNA
Rfam family: Bacterial small subunit ribosomal RNA
Source: RNAcentral